UACGAAGGGGGCUAGCGUUGUUCGGAUUUACUGGGCGUAAAGCGCACGUAGGCGGAUCGAUCAGUCAGGGGUGAAAUCCCAGAGCUCAACUCUGGAACUGCCUUUGAUACUGUCGAUCUGGAGUAUGGAAGAGGUAAGUGGAAUUCCGAGUGUAGAGGUGAAAUGCGUAGAGAUGCGGAGGAACACCGAUGGCGAAGGCAGCCCCCUGGGCUAGCACUGACGCUCAGGCACGAAAGCGUGGGGAGCAAACAGG
This 253-nucleotide ribosomal RNA is filed under the name uncultured prokaryote. RNAcentral describes it as "partial 16S ribosomal RNA". It matches the Rfam family "Bacterial small subunit ribosomal RNA", at positions 524 to 776 of the family's 1533-position model. The record is from RNAcentral.